GGGGGGGGCGGGGGGGCGGGCCGCACCGCCCCCCCCGAUGGGGGGGGGGGGGGGGGGGGGCCCCCCCCCCCCCCCCCCCCCC
Molecule: transfer RNA, 82 nt
Filed under: Arthrobacter ulcerisalmonis
Lineage: Bacteria; Bacillati; Actinomycetota; Actinomycetes; Micrococcales; Micrococcaceae
Description: Pseudarthrobacter sp. T11b tRNA-Ile
Source: RNAcentral